This 254-nucleotide ribosomal RNA is filed under the name uncultured bacterium. Its description in RNAcentral is "partial 16S ribosomal RNA". It matches the Rfam family "Bacterial small subunit ribosomal RNA", at positions 524 to 777 of the family's 1533-position model. The record is from RNAcentral.
UACGUAGGGUGCGAGCGUUGUCCGGAAUUAUUGGGCGUAAAGAGCUCGUAGGCGGUUUGUCGCGUCUGCUGUGAAAGACCGGGGCUCAACUCCGGUUCUGCAGUGGGUACGGGCAGACUAGAGUGAUGUAGGGGAGACUGGAAUUCCUGGUGUAGCGGUGAAAUGCGCAGAUAUCAGGAGGAACACCGAUGGCGAAGGCAGGUCUCUGGGCAUUAACUGACGCUGAGGAGCGAAAGCAUGGGGAGCGAACAGGG